Colius striatus (speckled mousebird) is the source of this 3944-nucleotide long non-coding RNA. RefSeq lists it as uncharacterized. The transcript has 3 exons. Lineage: Eukaryota; Metazoa; Chordata; Aves; Coliiformes; Coliidae. The record is from RefSeq and is a predicted model, not a curated record.
AUCUUGCCUGAUGGGAAAGAGAAAUGGCCAGAAAGUGUUGGUUUUAGGAGGAGAAGUGCGGUAGUGGACAGCAAGCCGUUGGGUAUUGGUGUUGUUUUCACCUUCCAUUUGCAGUGUGAGAUGACUACCUGGAAAUGCCAAAAUCUUUGUCGAUGGAGAAGAUCGUUAUCCAGAGGAAUGUGCUAGUUAUGGGAUAUGGUCACUUUUAAAGUCUGUUCCUUGGCCUGCCUUGGGAUUUCUGCCUUAGCUUGGCUACAUAACAGCAGUCCGUUGAAGUAGGAGUGCUUUUAAUGUGGGAGGCUUUGGGAGAAGAGGGGAGCUUGCAGGAGACGGGCAUCUUGAGAGCAUAUAAGCUGUUAUUAACUGUGACUGUGCCAAAAGAUGGGAUUGAGAAGAAAACAAUGCUAGCAAGCUGUGGAGAAACAGUUUUACUGCUUUAUUUUUUUCUUUUGAUUUGGUGGUAAGUACCUAACUGGAUUUCAGUAAGGUGCUGUUGUGCUACAGUGGUUACAGAAAUCAUUGUUGGCUGUGUUGCUUAUUUUGGAUUUUAAAAUAUUCCAGUGGCAGGACCAGCCUAUCCCUGGGAUUUUUCAUUUAAAUUUAUGAUGUUUAUUCAGCUCUUAAUUGUGCAAAUUAGAAUAAUUAUAAAGUGUGAUUAUAUGCAUACUCAGUGACUGUUUUUAAGAGGCUAGCUGAAAUUUUAGGAAUUUGUUUUAUUAGCCUUGUGUCUUUCUGGUGCAAGCGUCCUUUCUUCAUGCUGCUGAUCUGCAAAGCAAACAUCGUAAACUGCCACAGCAGGAAGCAAUUUUUGCAGAGGCUUAUCUGAGUGAAUCAAUCUUUAAUAAGGCAGGAGGCUCUUCAAUAACUCAGACUAAUUAGGACUGAUUUGUUGAGUUAUCGGAGAGUGAGACAACCCACCCUAAGCAGAGCAACUUCUCUCUGCUCUGGACUUUGAUAAGGACAGGAGGGCAUGUAUGUAGUAAGCUGUUACAUGGACAGAGCAGAGAGGAGACUACAUGGAAAAAGUAACUGAAAAAAAACCCUAGUAGGAUAGAAGAAUGAAGGACGGGAAUAAAACCAACUUCUUUUUUCUAGUUCCUCAGAUGGUGCCACCUUAAACUGUGGAGUUGUAAACCCACGAUCACCAAAGUGAAAGGUUUUCAACAGCUCAGAACAAAAAAUGUCAACUCAUAGCCAGAGCUUCUGCAGGGCACAACAGCAGCUUGAUGUGUGCAAUGAGCUUAGGAUGCGCCUGUGUUUUCUUGUGUUCUGCAAUCCAAGAUGCACAAGUAAAUAUCAAGUUUAUCCUCUCUGGAUGUGACAGUCUUAAUGAUCCGUCCUCUGUCAAGAUGACCAUUCCAGCUUUGUAAAUUUGGACUCUGCGCUCCUGGAUUUUCACCCAAACCACUAAGACAUGCUAAAAUGUGUGUAUGCUCAAAGAUUUGAACAUGGUUGAGUCAUUUGGCAGGAAAUGUGAAUUUUUGUUCACCUGACAAAAAACCCACUUAAUUUAGGUACAUUGAAAGUUUGCAAAGUGGUUGAGAUUUUGCAUGGAAAGCAUGGGAGAUCUUAUACCCUGUCUUGUGAGUACACAGUGAAUCAUGGUAUCUAUUCUGGGAACAGUGUUCCACUUCUCAGCUGGUUGGGGAACAUCUUUCUGUAUACGAAGCAAAGCAAGUAAGAAAAUACAAAACAAAGAACUCAUGUCUUCUGUACCUGGAACAUACAGCCUGUAUCUAAGCUUCAGUCACACCCAGAAAGGAAAGAUGAGGAAACUCAAACGAGCUUGUAAAAAUAACUUUUUCUAUCUAAAGAGCAUGUAAGGGUUAUUUUAAAUUUAAAAUUAAACCUACCUUAAGGGUAAAAGCAAUGAUGUAUUUACUGUAGGACAAUAAAUAUCUAUAGUAUUAUCAGCUCUUUUCAGGCAUUUUGGUAUUAAUUUCUCGUUGAUCUGUGAGAGUUUGAAUCAAAAAGUUGGGUGGCAAGACACAAAGCUUCCUGUGGUGAUGUCACUGUGUCUGGUAGAGAAAUAUGUUGCACCCUGCAGAAGUUCACUGAAGUUAUGAAGGAUGGGACCUGAGACUGCUUGCUAGUUUAAGAAUUAACUUUUUCAAUAAAGAGCUUUAGAACUUUUAUCUCAAUAUUUAGUUUCAAGAGUAACUUGCUUUGAAUGUUUUCUCUUGUGGCUCCUGUGUUCAGCAAUUGUGAGAGGUCCAAAAGUAGGUUUGACUGGCCUGUUUAGAACACUAAUACUUGCAUUAAAAAAAAUCCACUAAACCAAACCACAACUUAAUAAACUCUUAGGUGAUUUGUUAAGGCUUAGCUUGAGGAUUGUCUUUUUAUAUUUAAUUGCAGCAAAUUAUAUUCCUUGAGGGGUUUAUAUUUUAAGAAGAUAAGCUCCGAUUUAUCCCCCCUUUUUUCCAACUGUUCUAGUUUAUUCCAAAUUAACAAUCAGUUUUCUUCUGUCAAUUUUUUAGACACUCAAGAAGAUAAAAGGACUGCAUAGGCUUGACAGCUUUUCAGAGAGAAGAAAUUUGAUUUUGUUUUGGUUUCUAUUGCCCCUAGUCUCUACAUGUUUGUUUAUACAGACAGGCAAUUUUUGGCCUCGUUGCUGGAAAUCAUGAUGCAUGGUGGCAAAACCAAGUUGAGACCUGAGUCUCAAAAUUGUUUAUUAAUCCAGCAUCACCAGCACCUUUUAGUGUGAAACUGUUUAUGCUUUGCUCUGCUGUUGGGAUAAAGGACGGCUGGAGGGCACAGCAACUUGGAAGUAGGAGCCCAGGAUUUGGGAUGGAAAGGGGAUUUUAAGUGUGGUCUACCAUGUUUCCUACUUUCCUGGUAGGAGCAGAGCUAACUGCGUCUCUUUCCCCCCACCUACAGCAGGUUUGCAAGGGGGGAAAGAGUGGUUCUGAGCUUUGAAGUUGUUCCUUUCCUCCCUUCCUUCACUUUUAAUUAUCUCUGCCCCAAUAAUCUUCCAGAUAGUGACAGUAAGAGGAGAGCCUUGUCAGCUUCUGCAGGAGGCCUGGCCAGUUAAUCUUUCUUGUAGAGAUAAGAAGUGUAGGAAGAGUUUUACUGACCUAAGCACCUGGGGUUUCAGAGUUUAAAAAAUAGAUGCAUUGGUAUGGGAUAAGAAGUUGCACCUUACCCAGACAAAUGGUAUAACCCCCAGGUGGUGCAGUGCUGACUUAUGGGGGCUUUUUCUGUCCUUGUAGCAUUUGUGUGAGAUCUGAUGUUGGCAUUGUCCUGCUCUGUCCUCAUUUGCUGUGAAGUGAGGAGGGGACAGGAAGCGAAAGCCUUGUAUUCAACUAAUGUAGUGGUGUUGGGAUUGCUGAAUUGGGAGGAUUUCCUGGCCUUUCUUGUUUUUUUGGAAAGAAGAAAACAAAACUUUCAGACAAAAAAAAAUAAAAAUCCUUGUUCUGUUUGGCUCUUCCCUUCCCACUCCCAACCACUUCUGCCUUGUGCAUCGCCAGCCUGGGGUGGAAUGUUUCCAGGCUCCUUUUUGAAGAUAUUUAUAAAUAAAUUGAGCUCCAUAUGUAUGGAUUUUUUCCCCCAAUGAUUUCUUUACUGUACGCCAUUGUAUUUCUGUAUAAUUGAUCUAUGCAUGGCAACUUGCAUCUAGGGAGGGAAGUUGCAGAUGAGUUCGGCCUGUGCUGUGCAAGCAUGGAGAAAGGAAAUAAAAAAAUAGUUUGACAAUAGCAGUGAAAGCUGUGGAGAGAAACUUUAAAAAAAACCAACAAGUUAGUUUUAACUUGCUUUGAAACAAUAAGAAUAAAUGUGCUACAUAACUAUUAGAAACUAACGUAGAGUGGGGAAAUAGCAGACAAAUUUCCCUCGUCUAACCUCAAUCUGCCCAGCAAAAUUGAGCCUUAAUUUUAUAAAUAUCAAUAAAUCAAGAAGGGUAAAGGCACUUUUAAGUUGUGAGUAUUUUAUCAAGAAGAAAAAGCUUU